Molecule: ribosomal RNA, 566 nt
Filed under: Dendropsophus sanborni (Sanborn's treefrog)
Lineage: Eukaryota; Metazoa; Chordata; Amphibia; Anura; Hylidae
Description: partial large subunit ribosomal RNA
Rfam family: Bacterial large subunit ribosomal RNA
Source: RNAcentral
CGCCUCUCGAUAGCAUGAGAGGUCCAGCCUGCCCAGUGACUAAGUUCAACGGCCGCGGUACCCUAACCGUGCGAAGGUAGCGUAAUCACUUGUUUUUUAAAUGAAGACUAGUAUGAAAGGCAUCACGAGGGUUAUACUGUCUCCUUUUUCUAAUCAAUGAAACUGAUCUCCCCGUGAAGAAGCGGGGAUGCUUUUAUAAGACGAGAAGACCCUAUGGAGCUUUAAACAAUUAUAGCACUGGCCCACGCCUCCUAUUCUCCUGAGAUAUAACUAUUAUCUAAGCCAGCAUGACUAUUAGUUUUAGGUUGGGGUGACCGCGGAGCAAAAAUCAACCUCCACGUUGAACGGAGCUACUCCUGAGCCAAAAGCUACAACUUUAAGCACCAAUAAACUGACAUCUAUUGACCCAACAUGUUGAUCAACGAACCAAGUUACCCUAGGGAUAACAGCGCAAUCCAUUUCAAGAGCUCCUAUCGACAAAUGGGUUUACGACCUCGAUGUUGGAUCAGGGUAUCCCAGUGGUGCAGCCGCUACUAAAGGUUCGUUUGUUCAACGAUUAAAACCCU